GGCUCUUGGGUUUAAUCAAAGGGCUGUGAACCAUGAGUGCCAAAGGACUGUGAGAAAGAAAAAUUACAGACUUGGAAAGAAAUUCCAACAGUGUACUAAGAAGACAAUGACUGAAGGGCUCUCUCAGAAUAAUGGCAAGCGUCCCAAAAUUACAGGAAACACAUAACAAUCAAAGAUGAAUCAGACAGUCUCUAAAUAUCUUAACAAGAAGAUAACCGUCAUACUGCUUACUCCCAGCUGUCUGAGUUUACCGACGGGUGCAUACUCUUCUGCCAGUUUUACAGAAGGGGAAAUCACGGGCUACCCCAGCCUUUACUGGAGGAUGCUGCAUACGUGCUCCCACAGGCUAUGCACUGCACAGCACCCAAGGACUCACUGA
Molecule: long non-coding RNA, 379 nt
Filed under: Cricetulus griseus (Chinese hamster)
Lineage: Eukaryota; Metazoa; Chordata; Mammalia; Rodentia; Cricetidae
Description: lncRNA (ENSCGRG00000024898.1)
Source: RNAcentral